Molecule: ribosomal RNA, 253 nt
Filed under: uncultured bacterium
Lineage: Bacteria
Description: partial 16S ribosomal RNA
Rfam family: Bacterial small subunit ribosomal RNA
Source: RNAcentral
UACGAAGGGGGCUAGCGUUGCUCGGAAUUACUGGGCGUAAAGGGCGCGUAGGCGGACAGUUAAGUCGGGGGUGAAAGCCCGGGGCUCAACCUCGGAAUUGCCUUCGAUACUGGCUGUCUUGAGUACGGGAGAGGUGAGUGGAACUCCGAGUGUAGAGGUGAAAUUCGUAGAUAUUCGGAAGAACACCAGUGGCGAAGGCGACUCACUGGCCCGUUACUGACGCUGAGGCGCGAAAGCGUGGGGAGCAAACAGG